AUUACUGUGGUGUAAGUAGAGAGCAUGACUAACUUCCAAUUAGAGGGUCGUAGUAGUAAGUG
Molecule: transfer RNA, 62 nt
Filed under: Trichuris sp. GHL-2013
Lineage: Eukaryota; Metazoa; Nematoda; Enoplea; Trichinellida; Trichuridae
Description: tRNA-Gly
Source: RNAcentral